UGGGGAAUUUUGGACAAUGGGCGCAAGCCUGAUCCAGCCAUGCCGCGUGCGGGAAGAAGGCCUUCGGGUUGUAAACCGCUUUUGUCAGGGAAGAAAUCUUCUGAGUUAAUACCUCGGGAGGAUGACGGUACCUGAAGAAUAAGCACCGGCUAACUACGUGCCAGCAGCCGCGGUAAUACGUAGGGUGCAAGCGUUAAUCGGAAUUACUGGGCGUAAAGCGUGCGCAGGCGGUUUUGUAAGACAGAGGUGAAAUCCCCGGGCUCAACCUGGGAGCUGCCUUUGUGACUGCAAGGCUUGAGUGCGGCAGAGGGGGAUGGAAUUCCGCGUGUAGCAGUGAAAUGCGUAGAUAUGCGGAGGAACACCGAUGGCGAAGGCAAUCCCCUGGGCCUGCACUGACGCUCAUGCACGAAAGCGUGGGGAGCAAACAGGAUUAGAUACCCUGGUAGUCCACGCCCUAAACGAUGUCAACUGGUUGUUGGGAAGGUUCCUUCUCAGUAACGUAGCUAACGCGUGAAGUUGACCGCCUGGGGAGUACGGCCGCAAGGUUGAAACUCAAAUGAAUUGACGGGGUCA
RNAcentral lists this ribosomal RNA (573 nucleotides) under uncultured bacterium. RNAcentral's name for it is "partial 16S ribosomal RNA". It matches the Rfam family "Bacterial small subunit ribosomal RNA", at positions 355 to 921 of the family's 1533-position model. The record is from RNAcentral.